This 1898-nucleotide long non-coding RNA is filed under the name Homo sapiens (human). RNAcentral's name for it is "HSALNT0318388". Lineage: Eukaryota; Metazoa; Chordata; Mammalia; Primates; Hominidae. The record is from RNAcentral.
GCUGGACUUCAACUUCUGGGCUCAAGCAGUUCUCCUGCCUUAGCUUCCUGAGCAGCUAGUACUACAGGCACGAGCAACCAUGCCCAGGAAAUAUCCACAGAGACAUCCUAGACCCUCAAGAACCUUGCAUCUGUGUUCAAACAGUUGAAUUUAAACAAACAGUUGUGGAAGCCGGAAGUUCAAAAUCAAGAUGUCAGCAGUGUGUGUCAGUUCCUUCUGGAGUCUCGAGGAAGGAUCCGUUGUAUGAGUCUCUCCUUCCCUCUGUGCUGCAACUCCUGAAACCUGAAGUCUGUGACUCACCAGUUCUAAGCCCCAGAGUCCUGAUGGGGCACCUCAAGGAGACACUUCAGCCACCUAAGUCAGCUGGACCACCCCAUGACACAGUCAUGGAGGUUCCAGUCUGAAUUCAGAGUCAAUGAUAAGGGAGGCUUCCGUGGCAGAGUGAAAAGCACACACCUGAGAAAUGAAAAGAAAUGGCAAAGGUCACACGUCUCAGGAUGAAUUGCACUGUGUGUGACACCCUAGCUGAAAUCCUAUCCCACAGGACCAUCAGGUGAGCAAUUAAAGAAAGUGGCUGAAAUUGCUUCCAUGUUCUUUUUUCUCUUCUAAAAAUAUCUAUGCUGAGACUUUUUCCCCGUGUGUGUGUAUACACGUGUGUGUAUACACGUGUGUGUAUACAUGUGUGCAGCUUCCCAUGCUUGUGCAGGCCUCUGUGCUAAAGUCGGUGUCUUCAUUCAGACUGCACUUCAUUAUGGUUUUGCUUGAUGUCUGCCUCUCUCUUCCAUUGCCUUUCUUCUAAUUCAUGCUCUACAUUGCAGCAAGAAUGCCAUUCCUCUGUUUAAUAUACUUUCAUGGAUGCUCAUUUGUCUAGACACCUUCUCAUGGGACACAUUCUGCCUUCUACUUAUAACUUAUUUAUCUGCCUUCUUUUGCACAAUGACCACUUCUUCCUUAAAGAUCCAGUGUUGACAUCAUCUCUUCCAUUCACGGAGGCUUCCCAACUCUUCCAGGCAGAGUGAGUCAUCCAUUUCCCUGGGCUCCUCCGGCAUCUCAUAGAGACUUCUGUUGUGGAUUCCCCUGCUCUGUGCCACAAUGAUGUGUCGACAAGUUUGUCUCUCCCACAGCAUACACUGUGGGAUUCUUUAAAACAGAGAUGGUGUCAUGAAUUUCUGGUUUGGCAGGUUUGAAAAUAUUAUGCAGAACAUUAGUUUUUUUAAUAAAAGAAAAAUGAAUAAACAGAAGGAUAAAGCAUUAAGCUUAACCUCUAUAUAUACAGAACUCUGUAUCUGUAAAAAGAGGAUAAUAAAGAUACCCAGUUGUGGUAGAUUAAAUGAUUAACUGCAAUUCUUUACUCUUUCCUUUUGUGCCACAUGGGCAGAAGCUUGGGUGUGUUGCUCACUUUGGCAAAGAACAUGUGGGUAGACAUGAGAUGGUGCCAGUUCUAAGCCUGUACCUUAAGAAGAAUCACAGUGUCUCUUUACCUCUUUCCUUCUGCCAUUACCAUGAGAAGCAUUCUCUCUGGAUACCUGUUCGUAUUAUCCCUACAGCCUGGAAUGCAGUUUGAAGAUAUGUGCAGAAGAAAUGCCCAAGCCGACCCCGGACCUACAGUGAGAAGCAGAACAGCCCAGAGAAGCUCAGCCUAGGGCAACAGAGACAGCCUAGUCAACCUACAGAUCUGGGACAAUAAAUGCUUCUGCUUUUAAGCCACCGAGUUCUGGGAGGUGAUUUGUUCCACAGCAUUAUAGUGGCAAUAGCUGAUACUUCAACCUCAUUUAGUUUUUGUAAGGGCUAGAUCUGAUAAUUCAUGUCAAAAGCCCUAGAACGUGGUAAGCACAGAUAUUAGGAUUCACUAUUAUUAACAUUUGAUCUUUAUUAGCUUAUAAAACUAAGUAUUUUAU